AAUAAAUUAGAUUAGAAACUAGGAUUAGAUACCCAGUUAUAUUAAUUUGAAGACAAACUUUUUAUAAUUGAAUGUUCAAUCAUUAAAAUAAAGUAAUAUGGCGGUCUUUUGAUCUUUUUAGGGAAAUUUCUUUUUUAAUUUGAUA
Frieseomelitta varia is the source of this 145-nucleotide long non-coding RNA. RefSeq lists it as uncharacterized. The transcript has 3 exons. The record is from RefSeq and is a predicted model, not a curated record. NCBI's taxonomy places the organism in Eukaryota, Metazoa, Arthropoda, Insecta, Hymenoptera, Apidae.